This 16-nucleotide ribosomal RNA is filed under the name Leptasterias aequalis. Its description in RNAcentral is "partial 16S ribosomal RNA". The record is from RNAcentral. Lineage: Eukaryota; Metazoa; Echinodermata; Asteroidea; Forcipulatida; Asteriidae.
UGCCUCAAAAAGCUAC